GAGAGUAUCAGACAAACAGUAUCAUACAACAUGCAACUUUUGAGACUGGCUUCUUUCACACAGCCUUAUGCGUUUGAAACUCAUCCAAGUUGAGUCCAUCCAUAGUUCAUUCCUUUUCAUUGCUACAGCAUCACUUCGUUGUGUUGUCGGACCUCCAUUUAUUCAUCCACUCAGCCACUCAAGGACAUUUGGAUUGUUUCUGGCUUUUGGCAAUUAUGAAAGAACAGCUAUAAACAUUUAGCUAAAGGUAUUUAAAGUGGCUGUGAGAUUUUGCAUCGCCGUCAGUGAUGUUGGAGAUUUCCAGUUACUUCAUAUCCUUUUAGCACUUGGUGUUUUAGCCAUUUUAAUUGGUGCGACUCUCACUGUGGCUUUAAUACGCAUUUCUCCAAUGGUUGGUAUUGUUGAACAUGUUUUCUGUGUGUUUAUUGGCCAUCCUUAUGCCCCCUUUGAUGAAGUAGAGAGACAGAGCAUGAAUGGAGGAGGGUCGGAGAGCGAAGGAGACACAGAAUCUGAAACAGGCUCCAGGCUCUGAGCUGUCAGCACAGAGCCCGAUGCGGGGCUCGAACUCACGGACCGUGAGAUCAUGACCUGAGCUGAAGUUGGACGCUUACCGACUGAGCCACCUAGGCGCCCCAGUUUUUGUCUAUUUUUAAACUGGAUUAUUUUCUUAAUGUAGAGAUAUGAAUUUUAUUUACUUAUUUAUUUUUUUGGUAUAGUCUGAACACAAGUUGUUUGUACAAAUGAAUAUUUUCUCCUAGUCUGUAACUUGCCUUUUCAAUCUCUUAACAAUGUCUUUCCCAGUUCAAAUGUUUUAGAAUUUUAAUACUAUUUAAGUAAUCAAGAUUUUCAUUUUAAAGAUUGUGCUUUUGGUACCAUGUGUACUCUAAGUCACAAAGAUUUGCUCUAUUAUUUUCUUGUAAAACUUUAUAGUUUUAUGUUUUUUUAUUAAAAAUUUUUUUUUUUAAUUUUUAUUUAUUUUUGAGAGAGAGACAGAAUGUGAGCAGGAGAGGAACAGAGAGAGGGAGACACAGAAUCCGAAGCAGGCUCCAGGCUCUGAGCCAUCAGCACAGAGCCCGAUGCAGGGCUCAAACUCAUGAACCGUGAGAUCAUGACCUGAACUGAAGUCGGAGGCUUAACCGACUGAGCCCCCCAGGCAUUGGUUCAUUUACCUGGGUUGUUGAAUUUCUGUGUGUAGAGUUAUCAGGACAUUCCCUCCUCCUCCUGGUAAGGUACCUCAUGGAGGGAAGAUCACACAAUAUUUAUGGUCUUCUUGGUCUGGGGCUGCCUUGAGCCUAGGCCCGGGCACAGCCGAGGAAAAAUGGGAAACUCGUCACUCGUUUGGAGUAGAAGAGUCAGGAUGGAUGUGCUCAUUCUGUCUUGCCUGGAACUAAACCUCUUCCCUUCGACAUGAUUGUUCUAUCACAGCUUGUUGAGAAAACUGCAUGGUGGAAAAUGUUUGCCAGAAAACACGUAUGGGGGCACCCGGGUGGCUCCAUCGGUGGAGACACGAACUCUGGAUUUUGGCUCAGAUCCUGGCUGUGGCUCCUCCACUGGACUCAGGAAAGUCUCAAGUUCCAGACCUUUGGUGUUCAAGAACCUCAUGGUCCAACACUGCUCACCUCACCAGAAUCCUCUCUUGCUACCUCCCCCCUUCCCAGACUUCUGCCUUGUCAGAGGAUAUACAUCCAGAGUGCCUAUGAAUUCUCUGGAAUGCUUAUUUAAAAUACAAAGUCGUAGGCUCCAGAUUCUGAGGUAGUAGAUAAGCCUCAGGGCUCUGGAAGCUGCAUUGCAACAAGCUGGGCAACUCAUAUGGAGGGGACUUAUGGACCCCACCUGAGAAAUCCUGCUGAUCAGGUUCAACGCUAGGCUAUUUCUUAAAGCUUCGUGCUGUUUAGUCGCUAGCAUUUCCAUGUGCUGCAUUCACUACCUGGAGUACCCUUCCCAUUUUUCAUCUUCUGCCUUCCUUGCUUCCAACCCUGCGUGGUUCUUCAUCCUUCCCUUCCAGGAUGCAGCUUUCAGAUGGUGUCUUCUGAGAAACCCUCACCACCCUUUCAAAGCUAAGCGGGUGAACCCCCCUUCUUUGUACAUGCUAAGGAAUUUAUUACACCAUCACUGCCUGGUCACUGGUUUCUCCUAUAUAAGCGGAUGAGCUCCUUACGGGCUUGCCUCUGAUUGGUGAAAUCUUCCGAACUUGACAUUUUCAAAAGAAUGACAGCGCUGUACGGAGGCCAUUAAAUAAGUCCUAUCCCCUGGCAGCACAAAAUACCACAGAAAUGGCAUGGCGACCUCCUUCCAUCUUUCUGUUCAACAUAAUACCAAGAGUGAAUUUCUUUUAGCCUUAGUUAUAUAGCACGUUGGCUUUGCUUAGAGAGAAGCAUGGAAACACCUCCCAAUAAGUUCAGUAUUGAGCCCAGAAUUAGCUAACUUUCUUUCUGUCUUUCAUUCAUUUGAUUUUUAAGUAAUCUCUACACCCAACAUGGGACACAAACUCAUGGCUCCAAGAUCAAGAGUCGCAUGGUCUACCAACUGAGCCAGCCAGAGUGCCCUUCAGAAUGAACUAACUUUCAACAAAACAUUUCAGGGGAGGAUAAUUAACCUCACUGAAGUGGAUGAUGAGUGUUUUUGUAAAUAUAUUUUAAAAAUUGAAGUCUUAUUUUUAAUAAGACCCAUGGUAGUAAAUCUCUAUGAAAAGAAGAUCUUAAAUUGUGUAGGGUAUUUGUGUUCGUUUGCAGGUUUCCAUUGGAAGAGGGGAACAUUUCUGACAACAGCUAGAGCUAUUGGCAAUAGCAGGAAGAAGAUUAUUAGUUUUUGAGCUUUCAGGCAAGAAAAUUGAUGAAUUAAAAGGCCUAACGCAUCACUGUAAGCAAACCAGAUUUAGGUGAACAAUUAUCAUAGAAUGGGCCGGACUGUCAUCCGUGCUUCUGGGUGUCCAGGGCAGAAAUAAUUUUCCCUCAAGCUUAAUUUUGAAUUGUUUAAAAAAAUUUUUCCCCCAUAAAACAGGAAACAAUUGUGUGACUCAAUUCCAACAUUCUUGUAUUUAUUCCCACUCCUGCCUGGCGGUGUGUCAGGUUUGUGCAAAUCAGCGAUGAUCUUGGGUCACGUUAACUGAGGUGUUCUAAGGAGUUUGGAAAUCAGAGAGUCUUCACUUGGUAUUCUCCCCUAGGGUGUGUGAAGCUUAUUGCUUUGACCAUGCUACUGUUAGGUGGGAGAGAACUUUAAAUGUGGCAUAGAUUGGGUUUUAAUGAGAAAAACAAAAUCAAAGAAAAGGGAGUGACUGAAGGCACCGUCGGCAUUUUAUGGGAUAUGUUCCCUGGUCUCACUUGAGUUCAUUUACUGCACCAAAUGCACCACAUCUCAGACAUAUUUUGUUCAAAUAUAAUUGUUGAAGUAUUUUUUUAAAGUCUUUUUUUUUUUUUUUACUGAUUUUGAGAGAGAGAAAGAGAGAACGGGGGAGGGGCAGAGAGAGAGAGAGAGAGAGAGAGAGAGAGAAUCCCAAGCAGGCUCUGCACUGUCAGCACAUAGCCUGACGCUGUGGCCUGACACGGGGCUCGAACACACAAACCAUGAGAUCAUGACCUGAGCCAAAAUCAAGAGUCGGAUGCUUAGCCGACUGAGCCACCCAGGUGCCCUGUGAAGUGUGUUGUAACUGAUGGCCCCAUCCUGGGGACUUCUUCCAAAGCAUUCUGUUUUGAUUUCCCCAAUAUAAUCGUCGAGACUUAACAUCCUUCUCUAUAGUCUUUGUAGAGACACUAUAUUUUUGUGGGGAUCUUUUUUUUGUCAGAUAAAUACACAGGAAGUGUUUACCAUUAUAUCUGAUAGCUGUACCAUGCCAUUAGAAAAAUAUAUGCACAGUACAUGCUGAUGACUAAUCAGUACCCAUACAAGCCCCAGAGCAAGGCUGACAAGUAACUUCGUAAGUCGGACGUCUCUCAGCUGUCCUUUAGACACUGUGUUUCCACCUUUAGUCAUCCCAUUCCUUCCUUGUGUCCAAGAGACCAGAGUUCCAAUGCCAAAGUCAGUGGUCCUGAGCCUGGAACCUGAAAUUAAGUUUGCCUCUUGGUGGAGAUCAAGGCAAAAGAGUGGGAAAAGGAAGGGUUUUACUUGCAACCAGUAAGGGGAAACCAGGAUAUUUCUCACAGCAGUGCCCGCCCCUUCCUCAACAACAACGUUGGGGAGGUUUUAAGCUGAGGGGGCAUGCACAUUCAUGGACGGUCUUGGCAAAGGAGAGCUCCGUGUAGUAUUGGGGCCAGAGUCAUCCUGGGUGGACAGAAUCCGGGUCCUGGUUGAUUGAAGUCAUGGGGGCCAGCAAGGGUCUGCAUCAAGGGUUCUCUGGAUCCAGUUAGUCCAGGGUUUGAUUUCUCAGAGGGGCUUCAAUCCUGCAAAAGUGACUUAAGACUGUGCCCUAGGUCAUUACUUUUGAAAUAGCACUGGGAGUGUUACCAUUGCUUUAUUGUCUCUGAUAGCGUUAGGCUAUUUUUAGGCCUGGUAGAGGCUGUUAGAUUUUGCAUUCUGUUUAUUUCCUAAAAUAUUGAACUAUCGUGGUCUAUUUUUCUGCAAUUUGAACAUAUCCCAGGCAGUUCUGCAAGAAAUUGGCUUGGGCAAGUAAUGCCGGUCAGGCAUGGGUCACAAAAUGGCUGGGGGGGGGGGGGGGGGCGCCUAAAAUGAUAUUCCUUAUGUUAAGAAAGCUAUGUCUCAUCUUUCUUUUUCCGGGGGACCCCUAACUUAUCUGUCUAUAAGCCCAUCACCAUGGUAACCCUUCUGGGGCUGCUCUUUCCCUCAGCACCCAGUUGCUUCAACAUACCCUCUCUCUCCCUUUGGCUUCCCAUUUCUUCAACAAGAAGGUACAGGAAAAGGUGUUUGAAUUUGUGGCCUACAUGAUGCUGCUUCCUACUUCUGUAGCUGUUGGCCUCAUGGAUCCAAGGACAGAGAUUUGUUGAUCGUUCAGGGGGAGGAGUCUACUCUAUUUCCUCAUGUUUUUAAAAAGAGGGCUAGGAGUACCAGGCACGCGAACAUUCAGCUGCCAUGGUAAAACAUCUAACUUUGUUCAUGCAGAGAUAGUUCCAUAAAUGAAAGAUGAUUAAAGUUCUCAGAAAAAGUGCAUCAACUCUCUCCAACCUUCAAAUUAGCUUAUCUACAUUUUGGCACAGAUAUCUUGAUCUAGGGAUCAGAAAGAACCCUGGAUGUAGUUACCUAGCAACAAGCUUUAAAUGAUAAUGAGGUUAAGUAAGUUUGCCCAGGAUCCAAACUGAAUGAGGAACAGACACCUGGCCAAGGUACAGCAAAAUCCAUUAACUUGAAAAGUCCCAGGAGUCAAGGUUGCCUUCUUAGGUAUAAACAAAUAUAAUACUUCAAAGAAGGUAAAUUGUGUUGAUGUUUUGAGCUUUUAUUGCAUUUGAAAUUGUCCCUGUGAUUGUUUUCCUUUUUCUCAUUUUGUUUCUCUUUUUGUUUCUCUCUUUGUUUCUCUUUUUUCUCAUUCUGCCUGUCCUCGCCCCGUCCUUCCUCUUCAAACACAUCCAGCCCCCCACUGAGUCUUGCCAGCCGUCCCUCCUCACACCUGUGACGUCAGGUGCCCUUCCAUACUUGUUCUCACCCCCUCCAGUUUACGUUGCUAUGGCGUCCCCUUGACGACACUCUUCUCUGUAUCUUCCGAAACCAGUCCACAGAGACAAAGUGCAAACUUUUAUAAUUAAUUUGGCUUAGACUUUUCUGUUCCUCUUUCUAGUCCUCCAUGGCACUGGAAUUUGUUGCGGAGCAUAAUGCUUAGAUUAUUAAAGUUAAUAGUUAAGACAAUUGUGCAACCAGGGGCUCAAAUGGGACUGAGUGGGAAGGAUCCAUUUCCGUUCAUAAUCAUGUGUGUUCCCCCUGUGACCUGAACAGGUGUUUCCUGGGAAUUGUUGAGAAAGGAUGCUCCCUUCUCCUCACCCACCUCUCUUCUGAGUUGAGUGCCCACGUGUGUCCGGACAGACGUGCACAAAUGGCUUGCAGCCUGCCUUUUUCUCUGGGUCAUUCUCAGCACCAGAACGGGCAACUGUGCCUUGUGAGAGACUAUGAGGGAACACGGCCGCUGAUCCUUUCUCAAGAUGCAAAAUUGGGAGUCCGUGUUAUCUGCUCAUUUUCUUUGCUCUGCUAAUGGAGGGAUCUAACCCUGGUGAUAACAUAGAUGGACCUGAAGGGCAUUAUACUAAGUGAAACAAAUCAGAGAAAGACAACUACUGUAUGAUCUCACUCAUAGGUGGAAUCUACAACAAAACAAAACAAAACAAAACAAAACAGCCAGCAAACUCAUAGAAAAAGAGUUUAGGUUUGUGGCUACCAGAGGCAGGGUGUUGAGGAAGAGGGAAUUGGCAGAAGGUGGUCAAAAGGCACAAACUUCCAGUCAUAAGAUAAAUAAGUACUACGGAUGUCAUGGACAAUAUGAUGCGUUAUGGCUAAUGCUGGUCUAUCAUAUAUAGGAAAGUUGUUAAGAGGGCAGAUCCUAAGAGUUCUCAUCACAAGGAGGAUUUUCCUUUUUCUUUCCUUUUUAUCGUAUCUACACAAGAUGAUGGUCGCUAACUAAACCUAUUGUGGUCAUUUCACAUUGUAUGUGUAUCAAAUCAUCACGUUGUGCACCUUAAACCUUAUACAGUAAUAUAUGUCAAUUAUUUCUCAAUAAAACUGGGAAAAAAGAAAAA
Molecule: long non-coding RNA, 6671 nt
Organism: Neofelis nebulosa (Clouded leopard)
Lineage: Eukaryota; Metazoa; Chordata; Mammalia; Carnivora; Felidae
Exons: 6
Source: RefSeq, a predicted model, not a curated record